ACAUUACUGUACAAAACUAGAAGGUAAAAGAUGACAUAGAAAAACGAACAACAGACUCAAAACAUAAUAACUAAAAAAAUCUCCUUAUGCAAACUCUUGAAUGAGCAACCCUGACUGGAUGGUCCUGGAGUGUCUGUCAUGCUCAAACUCUGAUAAGUAAGUCCACACCUGUAUGAGAAAAUUAAGACCAAAUAAAGUUAAAGACCUAUAACGAUGUGAGACAAUAACACUUCCUGUUAGACACAUGCAAGACAUGAUUGUGACUAUUUUUCUAAAAUUAACCGAUGUGGCUAAAGUGGCUAAAACUGCAAGAUUUGGCUAAGACUCCGCGAAGUCAAGAACCUAAGAUUUACUAGGAAGACCGGACCCUAUGUGGGUUUCCUACGUAUCACGCCCCGAAAGAUGAGAAUCAGGUUCGCGUAGUUCGGGAAGACUGGAUACGGGCGAGAACUAAAAAAACAACUAAUUUAGAAAAAAAUAUUUUGUCUUUUUUUAAAAAAAAUGAUGAAACAUGUAAACUCUUUUUGGAAUUUCUUUUUCCUUUUUUUUUUGGAAAAUGAUGAAAAAAUGCAAAUUCUUUUUUGGAUUUUCCAUGUUUUUUUGGUCUUUUUCUUAACAAAAAUGUGACAGGAAAUAUAACUGGGCCCUACUUGCUUUAUUUUCACACUUCACACUCUCUUUUUUUCUUUUUAUUUUUUUUCAUUUGCCCUCAACUAUCAUUGGUCCACCAAAUGACCCUUUUACCCUUGAAAAAAUGCAACAUGUAGCACAUAGGAUGCAUCAGGAUGGUCUUUUAUUUUUGGGUACACUUGUCCUAGACCGACCCAACCCCUGUGUUGAGUCCCCAAAGUCAAAUGCACGUGAUGCAAACAAACGUUCCUACUAGGGAUCCGGCAUGAGGUUAUGUUAUUCUAAGUUUAAACCUGGGGUUGUGUUCUUUACCUGGCUUUCCCGAGCGGACAACUCGAGUAGAAGAGGGGGCAAUGUACCAGGAGCACGAAAGUCUACCCGGCCUUGUUGAUGGCCCAGCCUCGUUCUAUUUGGUAUAAGUUCUAACAGAAAAGGUGGGUCACGCGAACGUGUGCACCAUUUUUAGAAGACUCAGAGGGGUGGCGUAAGAAGACAGUUAUAUACAACUCAAAUUAUAUCAAAGCGGUAAAUAGACGGCAAUUAGCACAUUAGAUCCACAAAAUACAGUAAUAUCAACAAUAAAUAAAGCCAAGUAAAAAUCAUAUUAACAAGCUUGAAUUCUUGAGCCCUGAACCAAAGAUUCUGGGUUCUUGUCCCCAGCAGAGUCUUCCGAGCUGUCACAUCUCCUUUUUCCUACCUUGGAAGGGCAUAAAAGAGUUUUUCCAAUUUAAGUGACAAUCGAAACGGGAUUAUUUAAAUUAAAAUCAGAGUCUCCACUUGGGAUAGUUUAUUGGUGUCCCAAGUCACCGGUUUAAAAUCCCGAAUCGAGGAAGUUUGACUCUUAUUUAUGGUCUGCGAACAUAGAAAUCCGGUUAAGGGAUUUUGUUAACCCGGGAGAAGGUGUUAGGAAUUCCCCGGUUCCGUGGUUUUAGCAUGGUCGCUUUGAUCAUAUAUGGCUUAAUCAAAUUGUCUAAUUACUCCAUUUUAGAACCUAUGUGCAUUUGCCUUUUAAUUAAAAAAUUAUCUUGAAAACAGGCCACACGUAUGUGUAUUAUGACGACCCGGCCAGUUGUCUCAUGAGUUACCGCUCCGUUUCCCCCAUUUCUGAUUCUUAUUUCUUUGUUAUCCGUGUUUUAUGGUAUCGGGUUGGUCGGAUCGAAUCCGGAAUGAUUUUGGUAAGGUUUGAGACACUUAGUCUCUUUUAAGAGAGUUUGAGUUGGAAAAGUCAACCGGAUAUUGACUUAUGUGUUAGAGGGCUCGGAUACUAGUUCCGAUGGUUCAGUUAGCUCCGGGAGGUGAUUUAUGGCUCAGGACUGUGAUCGGAAUGGGUUUUGGAGGUUCGGAGUAGAAUUAGGCUUAAAUUGGCGAAGUUGAUAUUUUGGCGAUUUUCGGUUGAUAGCGAGAUUUUGAUAUAGGGGUCGGAAUGGAAUUCCAAGAGUUGCAGUAGCUUCGUUUUGUCAUUUGGGAUAUGUGUGUAAAAUUUCAGGUCAUUCGGACGUGGUUUGGUUGGGUUUUUUAUCAAAAGCGUAUUUUCGGAAGAUUUUUGAAACUUAGGCUUGAAUCCGAUGUGAUUUGGUAGAUUUGAUGUUGUUUGAGGUAUUUUGAUGAUUGGAACAAGUUUGAAUAAGGUAUUGGAUUAUGUUUGUGCUUUUGGAUGAGGUCCCGGGGGCCUCGGGGUAAUUUCGGAUGGUUGACGGAGAAAUUGGGAUUUUGUUGCAGCAGCUGAUAUUGUUGCUUCUGCUAUUUUCGCACCUGCGGUUUGGGGACCGCAGGUGCGGCGCCGCAUAUGCGUUGGAAUGGCUGCAGAAGUGGACGGGGAGGAAUUUGUCAGGGACCACAGAAGCAGUCAAGAUAGCCGCAUCUGCGACGAGUGUAUCGCAAAUGCGGAAUUUGGUUCCUUAAGUGAUUUUCGCAGAAGCGGAGGGUAGACCGCAAAUGCGGUUAAAGUGCCGCAGAUGCGGAAAGUCCUGGGCAGAACAUAUAAGUUAUUUCAUUUCGUGAGUUUGAGUUAUUCCACCAUUUUUGACUUCGGCUUGAGAGCUUUUGGACGAUUUGGAAGAGGGAUUUCAAGGGAACUUUGUUAAGGUAAAGAUUUUUGACUUAAAACACGUUUCUAUGGUAGUAUUUCAUGGAUUAAGAAUGAAAUUAAAGGAAUUAAAAGGCUAAAAAUGGAGAAUUCGGGCUUGAGUUUAAGAGGCCUUAAAUUGAGGAUUUGAGGGGUCAUUUGAACUCCGAUUUUGGUAUUCUUGAUAUGCAUAGACUCGUGGGGAGAUGAGAAAUCUAUUGAUGUAAAAAUUUCUGAUUUUCAUGAAGUGGGCCCGGGGCUCGGGUUUUGGUAAUUUCGGGAUUUGUGUCCUUUCUUGAUUGUUUUCGCUGGGCUUUGUUCCCUUAGCAUAUGUUGACGUCCUCAUUCUGAUUUUUGGAUAGAUUCGACGCGUGUAGAGAUCGAUUCGAGGGGAAAAGGCGUCGCGAGCUAGAUAUUUAGCCGGUUCGUGGUGUGUAAUGAUUGUAAAUGGUGCUCUGAGGGUUUGAAACCCCGGAUUGCACAUCGUAGUGCUAUAUUGAGGUGAGGCACACGCUUGAUGACGAGCGUGGGGUCGUGCACUAUUGGGGAUUGUGAUUUGGUCCAUCCCGAUUGAUGAUUUUACCGCGUAUUUGAUUGAAACUUAUUUACUAUCCUCAUGAUUUGGGCUGAUUGCCAUAUUUGGGCUUCGUGCCAACUAUUUGAACCCUUUGGGGAUUUUUAUUACUAUUUCCUCACUGUUUUGACUUAUUACUUGAACUCAGUCAUGUUAUUCUCCACUGUUUUACUACUCAACCAUUUUUACUCCGUUUUGAGACUUAAAUGAUAUUUUAAAUUAUGUUUUGGGCUGAGAAAUACUGUUUUACUAGUGCCCGAGGGGCUUGUGAUGAUUUUCGGACUGAGUAAGGCCGAGGGCUUAGUUGUGAGGAUACACUAAUACUGAUAUGAGGGCGAGGGCCUGGGAUACAUAUAUACGCCACAAGGUGGCUUGAUUGAUAUGAGGCCGAGGGCCUAGAUUUGAUGCCACGAGACGGCUUGUUAUUGCGUUUGGGUCGUAAGGGGCCCCUCCCGGAGUCUAUACACCCCCAGUGAGCGCGGGUACCUAUUGUGAUGUGAGAUUGAGCCUGAGGGGCUGGUAUUGUUCUAUGUGAUAGCCCGAGGGACUGGUAUUAUUCUAUGUGAUUGCCCGAGGGGCUGGUAUUGUUCUAUGUGAUUGCCCGAGGGGCUGGUACUGUUCUGAGAUGUUGCCCAAGGGGCGAAUUUACUGAUAUUGUGUCCGAGGGGCAAACUUCUAUUUGUUUAAUUUACCUUAAUUACCUGUCAAUUACUUGUUUACUGGUUGAAAGAGGAUUUUACUUGGCUUUUCAUUGUCUUACUGCUUUUAAAUGGUUUUACUGCUUCAUUAUAGAAUGCCUUGUGCCUUACGUAUUUUCCUACUUUCAGUCUUUAUUUACAUUUGUUACUCACUGAGUUGGAGUCCUCACUUUACUCCCUGCACCCUGUGUACAGAUUUAGGCGUAGCUGGUCUCGCUCCGGAGUGCUGAUUCAUUCCAGCUUCAGGCGGAUCUUCGAGGAGUCUUUAGGUAGCUGUUGACGUUCGCAGAUCGGAGCUCCUCCCUAUCUAUUUCCUUAUGUUCUUAGUUCAGUAUUUAAAACUCUGUAGUUACAUUUAAGGAUUUGGUAUGGUUAGAUGCUCGUAACUUGUGACACCCCGGGUAGGACUGUUUUGGGUUGUACUUCCGCACUUUAUUGGCAUUAUUCACUAUUUGGUAUUACUAUAUCAUGUUUUAGACUGUUUUUAUGUUAUCUAAUUGUUUAAAAAGGUGAAUUGGGUUUAAGUGGUUGGCCUUGUCUUCACGAGAGGCGUCAUCACGACCGGUUUCGGGUUUAGAGUCGUGACAGUGUACCCAUUUGUUUGGCACGUCAAAAAUCAUGUCACGCGAACGUGUCCACAAUCAAUGACGCUUUAUUAUUAUUAAGAAAGUUUGUCGAAGCUGCGCGAACGCAUACUCCAACUUUGUUUUUAGAAUCGUAAUUAUGUCAUGUGAAUGUGUCCACAAUCACGAUGAUUUAUUUAUUAAUAUGUGCCUAAUAUACACGCCAAACACGAACACCCUAAAGAUUUGACUACCCAAUUUAAGAGGAGCUCCUAAAGUUGCCUAUUUCUAUCGGACAUAAAAAAAAAUAUAUCAUUAGUGAAGGGGAUGAUUCAAGCCUGAACAACAAUGUAACAAACGUAUAUUAAGAAACAAUCCAUUAACACUAUCGAAACCCACCAUUAAAGGUAUCGUCCAACAACCCAUAUGUUUGAGCACUUUCCCAAAUUUAUUCACUUGUAAAAUUGGUUAUCUUCUUUGUCACGCGUGGGAUUCAACAAGUGCAACCAUAUAUUCAACCAAAAGUUAAUCAACUCAAGCACAUCUUUAAAUAAAAUUGCAAAUCAUUUGCAUAAUAGCUAUUAAAGCAUGUUAGGCAAACACAUAUCUCGAUCAACCACACAAUGCAAUUUAAGUUAUGUAAAGAACAGAGAAGAGAGUGGACCUCAAUAGCAAAAUCUGAAAUUUCAAAAUCACGGACAAGACCUCUGUUAAAACGUCUCGCCGGAAACCUCAAAUGGAACCGGAACCAUUAAACAGAAACCUCACUGGUGAUCAAUGACAAAAACCUCGAUGAAUGAUUAUUUCAGCAGCGCUCGAACUUUUGAAGUAAAACCAGCAACUUGGAACAAUUUUCUGAUCAAUGAGCGUACUUGAACCUUAAGACAUUUACACUGACGAAACAAAUUUUAACAUUUUCGAACUUAACAACUGGACGAAGCCAUGAACGGGAAUCUUUCAAAGAUCGGAGCUCGAUCGGAAAGUGUUGCUUGAAUUAAUUAUUUUGGCCUAAAUCGGACCACCAACGCAUCCUAAGGUAGUAGCAUCAGUAGGUAUCGAGAGAAAGGAAGAAGCCAGUAGAAGCUCGGGUGAGUGAAAGGAUCGACGAAGCUUGAAAAUUUGGUGUGUAGCUGAAUUCCGGCGAUUCUUUGUGUGUGUUUGUCUGCUUAUAUGGGUGUGUGUUCUGGGCGUUCUUAGAGUUUUUCUGGCUGGACGCCGAUAGCUAAGAGGUGAAGGGAGGUGAUGGAGUGUGCUGCUGUUUUUUUAAGAUGAAGAGAGGACGAGAGCUGCUAGUUCCCCCUUUUCUCUUGUGAGUGUUGCUGCUCUUCAAGAUUCAGAGAAUGGGAAUCGACUGAUGCAUUUUUAAGGGUCUGCUGGUGUUUUUGGUCUUACGGAGAAGAAUGUGAUGGAUUCCUUUCGUUGGUUUUGUGAGUCUGUAAAAGACGACGUUUUGGGAGGGGGGUUCUAUGGUGAGAAAAACGGCGGAUCUCCCUUAGAGGUCUAA
This 6034-nucleotide long non-coding RNA is filed under the name Nicotiana tabacum (common tobacco). Its description in RNAcentral is "long non-coding RNA (NTAB_LNC019203)". Lineage: Eukaryota; Viridiplantae; Streptophyta; Magnoliopsida; Solanales; Solanaceae. The record is from RNAcentral.